RNAcentral lists this long non-coding RNA (754 nucleotides) under Mustela putorius furo (domestic ferret). Its description in RNAcentral is "lncRNA (ENSMPUG00000030470.1)". Lineage: Eukaryota; Metazoa; Chordata; Mammalia; Carnivora; Mustelidae. The record is from RNAcentral.
AUGGUUGAAAAACUGAGAAGGAGACACAUUAUUCUGCUUCAAAUUUUGAUCAGCUGGGACAAAUUAGGUAGACUGGAGCCCAGUGGCCCGAGACCAUGGAAGAUCCAGCCAAGAGAGGAGGCCGCCAUGUGCCUGGCAGAGCCACACGAGGUCAGCAGGGGGGCCUCGGUGAUGGAGCUCCAGGAGCUGGGGGCACCCAGGAAGAAAGGAUGGAAGCGCUGCCGCGAGUGUGUGAGGAACUUUGGUGACCGGAGAAUGGGCUCCCAAAUCUCAGACAGUACAUCAAAGUGGAUGCCCCCGGUAGUCUAGUAGACUAGUCACUUCAGCGCAGAACCUGAGCACCCUCUAGAAUGGGUCAGUAAAGGAGAGGUGAGCAACUGGGAAAGGAGAUGUAGAAAGCCCCAAAUGGACCCAACACCUUCUCUUCUCUGACUGGUUCACUAGACCUAGAAUCUACAGGGAAUGUUGGAGACACAGUAGAUCUGGCUGUCACGAGGCAGUAGACCAAGUUGGGAGAGUAGAGAGUGUGAUCUGGGGAUAAAGACAUUCAUUCAUGCAGCUUCCUAAUUAUCUGAGGCCACCAGAGGUGAAGGAUGCUGAGGAGGGGACCUGACGGGUGGCAGCCAGGAAACCAUCCACAUCAUCCUACCCAGCAAGCCCAUGGUUGGCAGGAGAACUUAAACUUAUCUGAUAACCUUUUUCUUUUUUUAAAGGAGAAUGUGCUUUAAUGUUACAUGUAUAAAUCAAAAUGAAG